CAAGGAAGAGAGAGGAUGCUGAUGAUGUAGGUAUCAUAGAAGGAGGAAUGAAAGAGCUCACCAUCAAUGACUCAAAUGAGCAAAAUAAAGAACAGUUAGAAGAAAAAUAUGAGGAUGAGAGCAUCAAUGAUCAAAUCAUUCCAGAACAACCUCAAGAUAUAAGUAAUCUUCCAAAGGAAUGGAGGUAUGUCCAUAAUCACCCCAAAGAACUAAUCAUUAGUGAUCCGGCAU
RNAcentral lists this long non-coding RNA (231 nucleotides) under Elaeis guineensis (African oil palm). RNAcentral's name for it is "long non-coding RNA (EGUI_LNC074790)". Lineage: Eukaryota; Viridiplantae; Streptophyta; Magnoliopsida; Arecales; Arecaceae. The record is from RNAcentral.